Molecule: ribosomal RNA, 443 nt
Filed under: uncultured bacterium
Lineage: Bacteria
Description: partial 16S ribosomal RNA
Rfam family: Bacterial small subunit ribosomal RNA
Source: RNAcentral
CCUACGGGGGGCAGCAGUGGGGAAUAUUGGGCAAUGGGCGCAAGCCUGACCCAGCAACGCCGCGUGAAGGAAGAAGGCUUUCGGGUUGUAAACUUCUUUUCUGAGGGACGAAGAAAGUGACGGUACCUCAGGAAUAAGCCACGGCAAACUGCGUGCCAGCAGCCGCGGUAAUAAGUAGGUGGCAAGCUUUAUCCGGAUAUAUUGGGUGUAAAGGGCGUGAAGGCGGGAAAGAAAGUCUUAUGUGAAAACUCAGGGCUCAACUCUGAGCCUAUAUUUGAAACUGUUUUUCUUGAGUGCUGGAGGGGCAAUCGGAAUUCCGAGUGUAGGAGUGAAAUGCGUAGAUAUACGAAGGAACACCGGUAGCGAAGGCAGAUUGCUGGACAGUAACUGACGCUAAGGCGCGAAAGCGUAGGGAGCAAACGGGAUUAGAUACCCGAGUAGUC